CAAUAGCGUAUAUUAAAGUUGUUGCGGUUAAAAAGCUCGUAGUUGGAUUUCUGCCGAGGACGACCGGUCCGCCCUCUGGGUGAGUAUCUGGUUCGGCCUGGGCAUCUUCUUGGAGAACGUAUCUGCACUUGACUGUGUGGUGCGGUAUCCAGGACUUUACUUGAGGAAAUUAGAGUGUUCACGGCAGGCAAUCGCCCUGAAUAUAUUAGCAUGGAAUAAUGAUAUAGGACCUUGGUUCUAUUUUGUUGGUUUCUAGAACUAAGGUAAUGAUUAAUAGGACAAUUGGGGGCAUUCGUAUUAACGCGUCAGAGGUGGAAUUCUUGGAUUGUGUUGCGACGAACUACUGCGAAAGCAUUUGCCAAGGAUGUUUUCAUUGAUCAAGAACGAAAGUUAGGGGAUCGAAGACGAUCAGAU
RNAcentral lists this ribosomal RNA (414 nucleotides) under uncultured eukaryote. RNAcentral describes it as "SSU rRNA". It matches the Rfam family "Eukaryotic small subunit ribosomal RNA", at positions 592 to 1013 of the family's 1831-position model. The record is from RNAcentral.